AUUGAACGCUGGCGGCAGGCCUAACACAUGCAAGUCGAACGGUAACAGGAAGCAGCUUGCUGCUUUGCUGACGAGUGGCGGACGGGUGGGUAAUGUCUGGGAAACUGCCUGAUGGAGGGGGAUAACUACUGGAAACGGUAGCUAAUACCGCAUAACGUCGCAAGACCAAAGAGGGGGACCUUCGGGCCUCUUGCCAUCGGAUGUGCCCAGAUGGGAUUAGCUAGUAGGUGGGGUAACGGCUCACCUAGGCGACGAUCCCUAGCUGGUCUGAGAGGAUGACCAGCCACACUGGAACUGAGACACGGUCCAGACUCCUACGGGAGGCAGCAGUGGGGAAUAUUGCACAAUGGGCGCAAGCCUUAUGCAGCCAUGCCGCGUGUAUGAAGAAGGCCUUCGGGUUGUAAAGUACUUUCAGCGGGGAGGAAGGGAGUAAAGUUAAUACCUUUGCUCAUUGACGUUACCCGCAGAAGAAGCACCGGCUAACUCCGUG
This 490-nucleotide ribosomal RNA is filed under the name uncultured bacterium. Its description in RNAcentral is "partial 16S ribosomal RNA". It matches the Rfam family "Bacterial small subunit ribosomal RNA", at positions 30 to 507 of the family's 1533-position model. The record is from RNAcentral.